GAAGAAAAAGGAAAAAGAAAAAAUAUUUUUUUAACAGUCGGGUCAAACCGACCCGACCCGACUCUGACCCGAACACUGCGACCCGACCCGCCACCUGCAUACCCAGGCCAAGCCCAGCAGCCCAAAGAAAAAAAAACAAAAAAAGGGCAAAAGCAAAAAAGAAAAGAAAAGAAACAGGCCAAAAACAGCCCAAGUUCAGGCCCAACCCAACGCCAGGCCCAACAGCAGGCCUAGCAGGCCAGCCAGCCCAACUCCAGCAGCAGGCCCAAUAGCGCAGGCCCAAAAGGCAGCAGGCCAAA
This 299-nucleotide long non-coding RNA is filed under the name Gossypium raimondii (Peruvian cotton). RNAcentral's name for it is "long non-coding RNA (GRAI_LNC009127)". Lineage: Eukaryota; Viridiplantae; Streptophyta; Magnoliopsida; Malvales; Malvaceae. The record is from RNAcentral.